This 250-nucleotide ribosomal RNA is filed under the name uncultured bacterium. RNAcentral's name for it is "partial 16S ribosomal RNA". It matches the Rfam family "Bacterial small subunit ribosomal RNA", at positions 524 to 773 of the family's 1533-position model. The record is from RNAcentral.
UACGGAGGGUGCAAGCGUUAAUCGGAAUUACUGGGCGUAAAGCGCACGCAGGCGGUUUGUUAAGUCAGAUGUGAAAUCCCCGCGCUUAACGUGGGAACUGCAUUUGAAACUGGCAAGCUAGAGUCUUGUAGAGGGGGGUAGAAUUCCAGGUGUAGCGGUGAAAUGCGUAGAGAUCUGGAGGAAUACCGGUGGCGAAGGCGGCCCCCUGGACAAAGACUGACGCUCAGGUGCGAAAGCGUGGGGAGCAAAC